AUACGGAGGGUGCGAGCGUUGUUCGGAAUCACUGGGCGUAAAGGGCGCGCAGGCGGUCUGUUAAGUCAGAUGUGAAAGCCCACGGCUUAACCGUGGAAGUGCAUUUGAAACUGGCAGUCUUGAGUACCAGAGGGGAAGGUGGAAUUCCCGGUGUAGAGGUGAAAUUCGUAGAUAUCGGGAGGAAUACCGGUGGCGAAGGCGACUUUCUGGCUGGAUACUGACGCUGAGGCGCGAAAGCGUGGGGAGCAAACAGGAUUAGAUACCCUGGUAGUCCACGCCGUAAACGAUGUGAACUAGAUGUUGGAGGUGUUGAUCCCUUCGGUGUCGGAGCUAACGCAUUAAGUUCACCGCCUGGGGAGUACGGUCGCAAGAUUAAA
RNAcentral lists this ribosomal RNA (377 nucleotides) under uncultured bacterium. RNAcentral describes it as "bacterial SSU rRNA". It matches the Rfam family "Bacterial small subunit ribosomal RNA", at positions 523 to 898 of the family's 1533-position model. The record is from RNAcentral.